UACGUAGGGGGCAAGCGUUGUCCGGAUUUAUUGGGCGUAAAGAGCGUGUAGGCGGCCUGAAAGGUCAGCUGUGAAAACUCGAGGCUCAACCUCGAGACGUCGGUUGAAACCAUCUGGCUAGAGUCCGGAAGAGGAGUGUGGAAUUCCCGGUGUAGCGGUGAAAUGCGCAGAUAUCGGGAAGAACACCCGUGGCGAAGGCGGCACUCUGGGACGGUACUGACGCUGAGACGCGAAAAGCGUGGGGGAGCGAACAGGA
This 256-nucleotide ribosomal RNA is filed under the name uncultured bacterium. RNAcentral's name for it is "partial 16S ribosomal RNA". It matches the Rfam family "Bacterial small subunit ribosomal RNA", at positions 524 to 777 of the family's 1533-position model. The record is from RNAcentral.